CAAAAACACGAUAUGCAUUCCAGAUAUCUAGCAGCCUAAAUAUCUGGACCUGUCAGGGAGUCUAAGAGCCAAUGAGAGUGCAAGACACUGGUUGGGGAAAACCUGGAGAAGAGGACGCCUGUAACAACAACAAGGAACUGUUUAUGUUGUAUUUGCAACGCAGACCAAAGUUGGUAUUGCACCUAGAGGCAAAAUGCUAUAAAUGGUAAAGAAGUGUGGAAACAGGCUAUUUGGUGAACUUGUGUGCCAACAAC
Molecule: long non-coding RNA, 254 nt
Organism: Etheostoma spectabile (orangethroat darter)
Lineage: Eukaryota; Metazoa; Chordata; Actinopteri; Perciformes; Percidae
Exons: 3
Source: RefSeq, a predicted model, not a curated record